GAGGAAAAGAAACCAACAGGGAUUGCCUUAGUAACGGCGAGUGAAGCGGCAAAAGCUCAAUUUGAAAACGCUUCGGCGUGUUGUAAGUAAAGUGGUUAGACGCUUUUUAAUAAGUCCCUUGGAACAGGGCGCCAUAGAGGGUGAUAGCCCCGUAUUAAAUUGUCUAGUGUGCUACUUUAGAGCGAGUCGAGUUGUUUGGGAAUGCAGCUCAAAUAGGUGGUAAACUCCAUCUAAAGCUAAAUAUUGCUGGGAGACCGAUAGCGAACAAGUACAGUGAUGGAAAGAUGAAAAGCACUUUGAAAAGAGAGUGAAAUAGCGUGUGAAAUUGUUGGAGGGGAAGGCGAUGGUAGGAAUAAGAGGCUGCGGUUUGAAAUAAUUAUUUUUCGGGCCACGGUCUCCUGAGCCUGCUUUCGCACCCGU
Molecule: ribosomal RNA, 420 nt
Filed under: Magnusiomyces capitatus
Lineage: Eukaryota; Fungi; Ascomycota; Dipodascomycetes; Dipodascales; Dipodascaceae
Description: eukaryotic LSU rRNA
Rfam family: Eukaryotic large subunit ribosomal RNA
Source: RNAcentral